AACGAACGCUGGCGGCAGGCUUAACACAUGCAAGUCGAACGAAAAGUUACUUUCGGGUAAUGGAUUCGUGGCGGACGGGUGAGUAUAACAUAGAGAUCUACCGAGCAGUGGGGGAUAACAGUUGGAAACGACUGAUAAUACCGCAUACGCCAUAUUGGGAAAACGAUAGUGCUGUUCGAUGAGUCUAUGCCAGAUUAGCUAGUUGGUGGGGUAAAGGCCUACCAAGGCGACGAUCUGUAGCUGGUUUGAGAGGAUGAGCAGCCACACUGGGACUGAGACACGGCCCAGACUCCUACGGGAGGCAGCAGUGAGGAAUAUUGCACAAUGGAGGAAACUCUGAUGCAGCCAUGCCGCGUGAAUGAAGUAAGGUUUUAGGAUUGUAAAGUUCUUUCAGUGGUGAGAAUAGUGA
This 409-nucleotide ribosomal RNA is filed under the name uncultured Pseudomonadota bacterium. RNAcentral describes it as "bacterial SSU rRNA". It matches the Rfam family "Bacterial small subunit ribosomal RNA", at positions 29 to 454 of the family's 1533-position model. The record is from RNAcentral. Lineage: Bacteria; Pseudomonadati; Pseudomonadota.